AGGAACGACCAUACAAUCAUGAGAACACCGAUACCCGUCUUCUCAUCGAAGUUAAGCAUGAUCUGGUCGAGGUAGUACUACGGUGGGGGACCACGUUGUAACCCCCCGUGCAUGCAAC
RNAcentral lists this ribosomal RNA (118 nucleotides) under Chaetoceros tenuissimus. The record is from RNAcentral. Lineage: Eukaryota; Bacillariophyta; Thalassiosirophyceae; Chaetocerotales; Chaetocerotaceae.